RNAcentral lists this transfer RNA (77 nucleotides) under Bifidobacterium choerinum. RNAcentral describes it as "tRNA-Val". It matches the Rfam family "tRNA". From Rfam's summary of the family: Transfer RNA (tRNA) molecules are approximately 80 nucleotides in length. Their secondary structure includes four short double-helical elements and three loops (D, anti-codon, and T loops). Lineage: Bacteria; Bacillati; Actinomycetota; Actinomycetes; Bifidobacteriales; Bifidobacteriaceae. The record is from RNAcentral.
GGGCGAUUAGCUCAGUUGGUUAGAGCGCCACCUUUACACGGUGGAUGUCGGGGGUUCGAAUCCCUCAUCGCCCACCG